This 229-nucleotide ribosomal RNA is filed under the name uncultured bacterium. RNAcentral's name for it is "partial 16S ribosomal RNA". It matches the Rfam family "Bacterial small subunit ribosomal RNA", at positions 28 to 258 of the family's 1533-position model. The record is from RNAcentral.
GACGAACGCUGGCGGCGUGCUUCACACAUGCAAGUCGAGCGGUAAGGCCCUUUCGGGGGUACACGAGCGGCGAACGGGUGAGUAACACGUGGGUGACCUGCCCUCAGCUCUGGGAUAAGCCUGGGAAACCGGGUCUAAUACCGGAUAUGACUCCAUGACGCAUGUUGUGGGGUGGAAAGCCUUGUGCGGCUGAGGAUGGGCCCGCGGCCUAUCAGCUUGUUGGUGGGGG